AGAGUUUGAUCCUGGCUCAGGACGAACGCUGGCGGCGUGCUUAACACAUGCAAGUCGCACGGACCGCAAGGUCAGUGGCGGACGGGUGCGUAACACGUGAAGAACUUGUCCAUCGGUGGGGGAUAGCCGGCCCAACGGCCGGGUAAUACCGCGUACGUCGGCGGGGACGCAUGUUCCUGCCGGGAAAGCAGCAAUGCGCC
RNAcentral lists this ribosomal RNA (200 nucleotides) under uncultured bacterium. RNAcentral describes it as "partial 16S ribosomal RNA". It matches the Rfam family "Bacterial small subunit ribosomal RNA", at positions 8 to 219 of the family's 1533-position model. The record is from RNAcentral.